Long non-coding RNA from Belonocnema kinseyi, 773 nucleotides. RefSeq lists it as uncharacterized. The transcript has 4 exons. NCBI's taxonomy places the organism in Eukaryota, Metazoa, Arthropoda, Insecta, Hymenoptera, Cynipidae. The record is from RefSeq and is a predicted model, not a curated record.
CGUAACCAAAAGAUGCGCCGUCGCAUGGCAGCCAUGUAGUGUAAAUAAGUGAUCGAUAACAAUUGAGAUUUCAUUUAUGAAACUGAUGCUACGCGAAAUUCGAUUUUUAAUUCUUUUUUUAUUGUGCAAAAAUGUGUCCAACCAAAAAGCUUGCUGUCAAAUGGCACGUGGUGAUUUCUGAAGGCCAGUCCUCUGUGGCACCAGACAACUGGAUAAUUUGGGAAACAUGGGAACUUUUCCAUCCAUAACAAAACCAGGCUUCUCGAGCUGUCAAGAAGGCAAAAUGUCCAGAUAAAAAGUGGACUGUCCACACCAAUGACCGAAUAUCUGAGGGCUACGGUAGUUACGAUGAAGCUCUUAAAGCUGAGAUGCAGAGCGGAGAUUUCUUCACGAACGAUGAAUCAUACAAAACAUUGAUGCCACAGGUUAAUCCUUGCAUAACAAGAAAAAUUAAAAAGACUAUUCAGUUGCCGCCUUCGUCUACCAGUUUGGCAACUACUAAGCCAAAAACAGAGUAAAAAAUAGUCUCAAACCACCAUGUAAUUAUGGAUUAAAAAGAGAUGACUACAGCAAAGAAAAUUUCGUACUGAAAGUUGUAGGUGCUUCUGAAGAUGCAAUGUGCCGUAUAAAACCCAAGGAUAGGAGGUCCAAUGAAAGACGUUCGAGGUCAAGGGAGAAUACUCUAGAGUCAAGCCGAAAGUUAAAGGAAAACUAUCUGGAAUCAAAGGGCAAUCAAUUUUUGACUGUUUAUAGAAACUCAACAAUCAUAAAUA